CCAUGCUUAAACUAUGUGUGGUGGGGAUUGAACCCAUGGACUCAUGCAAGCUGGGUAAACAAACAUUGGCCCAGGGAGCACACAGAAUCCACAGCAGGGCCCAGACAGCAUCAGGACAGUGGAACUGACAUCUCAUGACAAACAUCCCUGUUGUCCACACCAACAGCAGCUGCACCUGCGUAAGGCCUCCAAAGAUAGACUUUGCCCCCGGAAAGAAGCAGCUGUGGGAAUCGGGAAGCUCUGUCGCACCGACCUGGAGCCAGGAAUGUCCUGAAGCAGUUUCUGUAGGAAUCAUACUCUCUGCUAAACGGCUUUGCCCUCUGACAGAGUCCCUCCUGGUUCUGCCUUGUGAUCAGCAACCAGUUUUUAGUUCAUUCUGCUGGUACUCUUGGCCUUUGUUAAGCAUCUAAACUACAGCUGUCCAAGACUUGCCACAAAAAUGGUUUGUAAAUAAGCUUGAACAGGCAGACUUUGUAACCAUUUUAUUGUUCUGGUGUGGGGGAGGGUAGUAGUGUGAGUGUGUGUGUAUCACUGGGAGGUAAGGAUGGCAGAACUCUCAGGAGGGAGAGCCUGAACGAUGGAGAUUACAUCCACUCUCUCAUAAUUUAAUUCUGUAAAAGGGGAAAUUUAAAAGCCCCGCAUGAUUUAAAUGACCUUUAAGCCUGUAGAUCAACAGGAAUGUCAAGACGUCAGAAUGAAAGCUGGAAUCCUUGAAGACCUGCUUUAGGAACCUGUGGGUCCGGGUCAGAGGUCAUGUAUGGUCUGUGUACUGCAGCCCUCUCCACCUUUGCUCUGGUACCUCUGCAAUUCCAAACAUGGCUGGGCAGGGGCAGUCACAGGUCAGGUCUCAUGCGGAUCAUGGCUGAUCAACACCCUCCUUUGAGACUUUUCAGGGGCAGCUGGGGAAAGGCCUGUCCUUAGUCAGGGCCUUCAGGGAGACCUGAAAAUGGAGGGGAUCAGAGCCCGUGUUCAGCCAACCCA
Mus musculus (house mouse) is the source of this 981-nucleotide long non-coding RNA. RefSeq annotates it as predicted gene, 51664. NCBI's taxonomy places the organism in Eukaryota, Metazoa, Chordata, Mammalia, Rodentia, Muridae. The record is from RefSeq and is a predicted model, not a curated record. The transcript has 3 exons.